This 73-nucleotide transfer RNA is filed under the name Alkalilimnicola ehrlichii MLHE-1. It matches the Rfam family "tRNA". From Rfam's summary of the family: Transfer RNA (tRNA) molecules are approximately 80 nucleotides in length. Their secondary structure includes four short double-helical elements and three loops (D, anti-codon, and T loops). Lineage: Bacteria; Pseudomonadati; Pseudomonadota; Gammaproteobacteria; Chromatiales; Ectothiorhodospiraceae. The record is from Rfam by way of RNAcentral. RNAcentral also lists the same sequence under 1 other name.
GGCCAGGUAGCUCAGUCGGUAGAGCAGGGGAUUGAAAAUCCCCGUGUCGGGAGUUCGAUUCUCUCCCUGGCCA